This 792-nucleotide ribosomal RNA is filed under the name uncultured bacterium. Its description in RNAcentral is "bacterial SSU rRNA". It matches the Rfam family "Bacterial small subunit ribosomal RNA", at positions 8 to 796 of the family's 1533-position model. The record is from RNAcentral.
AGAGUUUGAUCAUGGCUCAGGAUGAACGCUAGCGGCAGCUUAAUACAUGCAAGUCGUGGGGCAGCACAGGUAGCAAUACUGGGUGGCGACCGGCAGACGGGUGCGGAACACGUACGCAACCUUCCCAAAACUGGUGAAUAGCCCUCCGAAAGGAGGAUUAAUACACCGUAACAUAAUGAAAUGGCAUCAUUUUAUUAUUAUAGCUCCGGCGGUUUUGGAUGGGCGUGCGCCUGAUUAGGUAGUUGGCGGGGUAACGGCCCACCAAGCCUACGAUCAGUAACUGGUGUGAGAGCACGACCAGUCACACGGGCACUGAGACACGGGCCCGACUCCUACGGGAGGCAGCAGUAAGGAAUAUUGGUCAAUGGACGAAAGUCUGAACCAGCCAUGCCGCGUGGAGGAUGAAGGUCCUCUGGAUUGUAAACUUCUUUUAUAUGGGACGAAAAAAGGCUUUUCUAAGUCGUCUGACGGUACCAUAUGAAUAAGCACCGGCUAACUCCGUGCCAGCAGCCGCGGUAAUACGGAGGGUGCAAGCGUUAUCCGGAUUCACUGGGUUUAAAGGGUGCGUAGGUGGGUUGGUAAGUCAGUGGUGAAAUCUCCGAGCUUAACUUGGAAACUGCCAUUGAUACUAUUAGUCUUGAAUAUUGUGGAGGUCAGCGGAAUAUGUCAUGUAGCGGUGAAAUGCUUAGAGAUGACAUAGAACACCAAUUGCGAAGGCAGCUGGCUACACAUAUAUUGACACUGAGGCACGAAAGCGUGGGGAUCAAACAGGAUUAGAUACCCUAGUAGUCC